UGGCUCAGAUUGAACGCUGGCGGCAGGCCUAACACAUGCAAGUCGAGCGGUAGCACAAGAGAGCUUGCUCUCUGGGUGACGAGCGGCGGACGGGUGAGUAAUGUCUGGGAAACUGCCUGAUGGCGGGGGAUAACUAGUGGAAACGGUAGCUAAUACCGCAUAACGUCGCAAGACCAAAGUGGGGGACCUUCGGGCCUCACGCCAUCAGAUGUGCCCAGGUGGGAUUAGCUGGUAGGUGGGGUAACGGCUCACCUAGGCGACGAUCCCUAGCUGGUCUGAGAGGAUGACCAGCCACACUGGAACUGAGACACGGUCCAGACUCCUACGGGAGGCAGCAGUGGGGAAUAUUGCACAAUGGGCGCAAGCCUGAUGCAGCCAUGCCGCGUGUGUGAAGAAGGCCUUCGGGUUGUAAAGCACUUUCAGCGAGGAGGAAGGGUAAUGUGUUAAUAGGACAUUGC
This 458-nucleotide ribosomal RNA is filed under the name Serratia symbiotica. RNAcentral's name for it is "bacterial SSU rRNA". It matches the Rfam family "Bacterial small subunit ribosomal RNA", at positions 20 to 478 of the family's 1533-position model. Lineage: Bacteria; Pseudomonadati; Pseudomonadota; Gammaproteobacteria; Enterobacterales; Yersiniaceae. The record is from RNAcentral.